RNAcentral lists this RNase P RNA (399 nucleotides) under Alcaligenes endophyticus. RNAcentral's name for it is "RNase P RNA component class A". It matches the Rfam family "Bacterial RNase P class A". From Rfam's summary of the family: Ribonuclease P (RNase P) is a ubiquitous endoribonuclease, found in archaea, bacteria and eukarya as well as chloroplasts and mitochondria. Its best characterised activity is the generation of mature 5'-ends of tRNAs by cleaving the 5'-leader elements of precursor-tRNAs. The record is from RNAcentral. Lineage: Bacteria; Pseudomonadati; Pseudomonadota; Betaproteobacteria; Burkholderiales; Alcaligenaceae.
GAGGCAGGUCGGGCAAUCGCGUCGCUAGGCGGCGAGGAAGGUCCGGACUCCACAGAGCAGGGUAGCGGCUAACAGCCGUCCGGUAAGUGUCAAACGAGCCGAGGAAUAGGGCCACAGAGACGAGACUAAGAUCAGGGCUUGCAUCCGCAAGCACAGCUACGGCGACUCCGUAGUUUUAAGCGCGAGCUUUAAGGUCUUAGGGUGAAACGCGGUAACCUCUACCCGGAGCAAUACCAAAUAGGCAUGCGCUAACUUUAGCAAUAAGGUUGUAGAGCGGCUCGUUCGAGCAUGCGGGUAGGUAGCUAGAGCCCGUUAGUAAUGGCGGGCCCAGAGGAAUGAUUGCCAAUUGGCACCCUAGGUGCUGAUUUACAAAAUCCGGCCUAUAGACCUGUCUCACCU